AUGUUUGAACCUUCCGUGGUGAGUGAGGCAAAUACUUGGCCAUUACAAGGAAAAGAAAAGGUCUCCAAUAGCAUAACUUCUCUUUGAUUUAAAAGAAAAUAUAAAAUGCUAAACACUUCUUCACAAUUUUGCCGAUAUCAGUUUUUUUUUUUUUUUGUUUCAUGCGAACUAACAAAUUUGACACCAAAAAAUUAUUAUAUGCAUAUAUUGAUUGGUUUAAGUAGCAUCAGAAAAAAAUUAAACUGAUUUUUAUUUAUUUAAAUGGAAAAUUUGAAUGUAUGUGAACAAAUGGUUUCUU
RNAcentral lists this long non-coding RNA (298 nucleotides) under Capsella rubella. RNAcentral describes it as "long non-coding RNA (CRUB_LNC001334)". The record is from RNAcentral. Lineage: Eukaryota; Viridiplantae; Streptophyta; Magnoliopsida; Brassicales; Brassicaceae.